Molecule: ribosomal RNA, 654 nt
Filed under: uncultured archaeon
Lineage: Archaea
Description: bacterial SSU rRNA
Rfam family: Archaeal small subunit ribosomal RNA
Source: RNAcentral
GCCUAAAGCGUCCGUAGCCGGCUCUGUUAGUUUUCGGUUAAAUCCAUAUGCUCAACAUAUGGGCCGCCGGGAAUACUACAAAGCUAGGGAGUGGGAGAGGUAGACGGUACUCCGUAGGAAGGGGUAAAAUCCUUUGAUCUAUGGAUGACCACCAGUGGCGAAGGCGGUCUACCAGAACACGUUCGACGGUGAGGGAUGAAAGCUGGGGGAGCAAACCGGAUUAGAUACCCGGGUAGUCCCAGCUGUAAACUAUGCAAACUCAGUGAUGCAUUGGCUUGUGGCCAGUGCAGUGCCGCAGAGAAGUCGUUAAGUUUGCCGCCUGGGAAGUACGUACGCAAGUAUGAAACUUAAAGGAAUUGGCGGGGGAGCACCACAAGGGGUGAAGCCUGCGGUUUAAUUGGAGUCAACGCCAGAAAUCUUACCCGGAGAGACAGCAGGAUGAAGGUCAAGCUGAAGACUUUACCAGACAAGCUGAGAAGUGGUGCAUGGCCGUCGCCAGCUCGUGCCGUGAGGUGUCCUGUUAAGUCAGGUAACGAGCGAGAUCCUUGCCUCUAGUUGCCACCAUUACUCUCAGGAGUAGUGGGGCGAAUUAGCGGGACUGCCGUAGUUAAUACGGAGGAAGGAGAGGGCCACGGCAGGUCAGUAUGCCCCGAA